UACGUAGGUGGCGAGCGUUGUCCGGAAUUACUGGGUGUAAAGCGCGUGUAGGCGGGAGGCCAAGUCUGCUGUGAAAUCGCCCGGCUCAACUGGGCGGGGUCGGUGGAAACUGGUCACCUGGAGGACGGUAGAGGCGAGUGGAAUUCCCGGUGUAGUGGUGAAAUGCGUAGAGAUCGGGAGGAACACCAGUGGCGAAGGCGGCUCGCUGGGCCGGACCUGACGCUGAGACGCGAAGGCGCGGGGAGCGAACGGG
RNAcentral lists this ribosomal RNA (253 nucleotides) under uncultured bacterium. Its description in RNAcentral is "partial 16S ribosomal RNA". It matches the Rfam family "Bacterial small subunit ribosomal RNA", at positions 524 to 776 of the family's 1533-position model. The record is from RNAcentral.